RNAcentral lists this long non-coding RNA (27114 nucleotides) under Setaria italica (foxtail millet). RNAcentral's name for it is "long non-coding RNA (SITA_LNC005186)". The record is from RNAcentral. Lineage: Eukaryota; Viridiplantae; Streptophyta; Magnoliopsida; Poales; Poaceae.
AGAAAACAAAACAGAUGAUCAGCUUCAGGGCAUAACAAAACAAGAGUCAGCACGCGAUGUCUCACACGACACCAAUGACAAGGGAAGGUUAACACAAGAUGAGGAGAGAGAAAAGGGAGGCAUUGGCAAGAAAGUUUAUUGGGUGUACCUGAGGACAGUUCAUGGUGGUGCCUUAGUUCCAAUAAUAAUCGCUGCACAGCUAUUAUUCCAAAUAUUUCAGGUAGCAAGCAACUAUUGGAUGGCAUGGGCAUCCCCUCCAUCAUCUGCAACCAACCCAACCAUUGGAUUAGGCCUCCUUUUCUCUGUGUAUAUAACACUAUCUAUGGGAAGUGCACUAUGUAUCUUUGCCCGCUCCAUGCUCACAUCACUAAUCGGUCUGCUAACAUCAGAAAAGCUCUUCAAGAACAUGAUCCACUGCAUCCUGCGUGCCCCAAUGUCUUUCUUUGACUCCACACCUACUGGGAGAAUUUUGAUCAGGGUUGGUUUUAUGAAAAUUUUAUACUGCAUCACAUGCCCUAACAGUACUAAAGUACGAAACUAAUGUGUGUUUUUCAUGUAACAGGCCUCCAGUGACCAACGUGCUCUAGAUAUGGACAUAGCAAACAAGCUUAGUUGGUCCAUGCUUUCAGUCAUACAAAUCCUGGGGACCAUUGGUGUUAUGUCACAGGUUGCAUGGCCAGUUUUCGCCAUCUUCAUUCCAGUGAUGGUUGUCUCUGUCCUUUAUCAAGUACGAACUCUUAGGCAAGAACUUCAGAUCUUGCUUACAACUUUGGUGUUCUCUUUACCAUUAUGCAUAUGGUUACUAUUGCAAUCAAUAAAUUAAAGGAAGCUUAAAUACCAGUUUUCUGAAUCCAUAUACUUUGUAUAAUGUGCAGCGCUACCAAAUACCAGCAGCAAGAGAGCUGGCUCGUUUGAAUAAAAUUCAAAGGGCUCCAAUCCUACACCAUUUUGCAGAAUCACUUUCAGGAGCAUCAAGUAUUAGAGCAUAUGGACGGAAAGAUCGUUUCAUAAAAGCAAACCUUGGUCUUUUUGACAGUCACUUCAGACCAUGGUUCUAUAACUUCGCUUCCAUGGAGUGGCUUUCUCUCAGGCUAGCCAUGCUAUCCACUCUUGUCUUUGCGGUUUGUUUGAUUCUGCUAGUCAGCCUUCCUGAAGGUUUAUUGAACCCAAGUAAGAUGUAUAUGCAAAGCCCUUGGUGAUUACAGAAGCCUCAAUAUGUCUUAUGUUUAGUGAUUUUCAAACUAAUAUAAUUACACAUGCAGGCAUUGCUGGACUUGCAGUGACUUAUGCAUUGAACCUCAACUAUCAGUUGACGUCUAUGAUUUGGAACAUUACCAGCACAGAGAACAAAAUGAUAUCAGUAGAAAGAAUAUUACAGUACUCAAGGAUACCUAGUGAGGCUCCUCUAUUAGUUGACUACUGCUGCCCACCAACUAGCUGGCCGCAAAAUGGAACUAUCAGUAUAAGAUGCUUGGAGGUAUGUGAAAAAGAAUCAUGAGUUAUGACCUAACAUGAGUGCAAACAUAAUUUUAUUUCACCAAUGAUUUUAAAAAUCUUUUGCUGAGUUGGUAAAAAAAAUUAAUUUAUUCAUUAACGUUGAAGUUAAAUAACCAUAUGCACAAAAUAACAGCAAGCUGUCAGAAAAAUUCAUCUCACGAAAGCGCUCGGUUUAUAAUAAUUAUAUAAAUAAUCACGUAGCUCUUACUUUUUAUUUUCUACAUAAUAAAUGAAACAUGUACUAUGUAUUUUAUCUCAAUAUAUGCAUUAGCUCAAAUGGAGCCAUCUAAUGUGACUUUUUGCUUUUACUGUUUUACAGGUUCGAUAUGCAGAGCAUCUCCCAUCUAUUUUGAGAAGCAUAUCAUGUACAAUUCCAGGAGGGAAGAAAGUGGGGAUUGUAGGACGUACUGGCAGUGGAAAGUCAACUUUUAUCCAAGCCCUUUUCCGGAUCGUUGAACCACGGGAAGGCACAAUUAAAAUCGACAAUGUUGACAUCUGCAAAAUAGGGCUGCAUGAUUUACGUGGCAGACUUAGCAUCAUUCCACAAGAUCCAACCAUGUUUGAGGGAACCGUAAGAGGGAAUCUUGAUCCACUAAAUGAGUACUCUGAUCAACGUGUGUGGGAGGUAACUUAAUCAGCUACAAAUACCAUCAUGAUAAAGAAAACCUUAAUUACCAUGUGAAAUAGGGAUAAGUCAUAAAUUAAUAUGUUUCCCUCACACUGCAUGUUUGAUACUACCACCAAACUUUAAAUGACUGAAGCCAGAAUGGGGGAAUGGAUGUAAUUGUUAUAGUAUAAGUGCACCAACUGUACAUUGCAAUUAGUAACACAAUACAAUUCCUAAAGAUUUUCUGGUAACUCAUAACCAACCCGAUUGAAAUUCAUAAUCUAUUGACAUAAAAGUGAACAGAAAAGGGAAAGUACCACUCAAAAGAAAAUGAUGACUAGAGGGAGUGGAGACAGCCACCUGAUCAGAAUAUUGGUUUGCUUAUUUUGUUCAGGUAUUGGACAAAUGCCAGCUUGGCGAUAUAGUUCGGCAAAACCCAAAGAAGCUGGAUUCAACAGGUAAUGCACUAUUUCAGGUCUAGUGGCCAAUGUGAAAACGUAGUGUUCAUGGGUAGGUGGUACUGUAGUAGUUACCAUAGUCUUGUAGGUAAGGAUAUCUUCAAUGAGACUAUAACCAAACGGGAUACCCCCUGCAGUUGUCGAGAAUGGAGAAAACUGGAGCGUGGGCCAGAGGCAGCUGUUUUGCCUUGGUAGGGUUCUGCUAAAGAGAAGCAACAUCCUCGUACUUGAUGAGGCAACUGCUUCAGUUGACUCCUCCACUGAUGCAAUUAUCCAAGAAACCGUCCGCCAAGAGUUUCGGGAUUGCACAGUGCUUACAGUGGCACACAGAAUCCACACGGUUGUUGACAGCGAUCUCAUCCUCGUCUUCAGUGAAGGUAUAAGGCCCGGGUUCAAUGAACAAACAGCAGUCCGCUGCAUGUUAUUGGAGGACCUAGCUGCAGUGAUACUAAAAUCCAUACUGUUUUAUGAUGAGCAGGGAGGAUCGUGGAAUACGACACUCCGUCGAAAUUGCUGAAGAACGAGAACUCUGAGUUCUCCAGGCUCGUCAAGGAGUACUCGAGGCGAUCCCACUGCUCCAGCGGCAGAGGAAACAACUGUAACAGGGGCAACUAGCACAGCAUGAAGACAGGGAUUGAAGUGAACUUCAAAAUCAAUCGUAGUGGCCUAGUGGGUGGCAUAGCACUAGCUCCUAGCUAGACUCAGUUAUUCUGUUGCUGAUGGGAUCAAACGUCCUGUAUAAGAAAAAUAAACGAUAAGAAGCACAUAUUCUGCGUAAAUGUGUGCACGCGAAUGGUGACAGUAGGACGUUUUGCCUUUUUCAACUGUAAUACUUGAUUGGGGCCUUACACAUCGCAGUGCGUCCGGUCAGGCAUUCCAUCGAGCAGGCGACGGGCAUAUGGCAGUGCGCUCGAGGCCGGCGCCUACUUAACGGCGCUAUCCCUCGCCUACCGGCUAUUGGAGAAGGAGGAGGUGGGAAAAACGGGCAGGCGGGUCGUCGGUGUCAUCGCCGGAGCGGGGUUCGGGGCGGAGGAAGGGGGACGAUGGGUGGCGGCCGUCGGCUGAAAGGUUGGGGAGGGCGGGAAGCACAGCAGAGCCGCAGAGAUGGUUCGUGUCGGCUUGGCUUGCGUUAGGAUAUGGAGCUGGCUCGGCUCAAAAAACAAGCUAAACUACCUCAAACACGGCAAAUCGUGCUUAGAGCAGUCAGUGUGUUCUAAAAGUUAUUUUUCGUUUUUCUCUUUUCUCUUUGAGUAUCCAUCGGCGCACCGCAAGACGCAAUGCUAGAUGAAAAAACUCGGCAUCGAUGACUCUAGUUUUCUUGAUGCAUAACUACUCCAAUAGCAUGCUGCUGCUCCCUGUCAGUGAGAAGGAAACUAUAAUGGGAGAAGAAAACAAAGCAUCGUUGGUUGUGGGUGUUAAAAUCCGGCAACCUACCAAGGAGAAUACCUAAGGUAGAGUCUUGGUUGGUGGGUGUCGCCAAAAUCAGGAACUCGAUGGUAUACGUAGGCACGCGAUUUAGACAGGUCAGACCGCUAGAUCGCGUAAUACCUAUGUCCUGUGUGUUAUUUGCUUGUAUUCAAUUGAACUUUCUAGAGAGGGUCCCUGCCUGUCCUUAUAUAUUGGUGGAGCAGGAUUAAGGAUCGGUUAUUUUACAGGAAUACCAGUCGGAUUCGACCAGAGAGUCCUACUCUAACUGCUAUGAGUAGUUUCCGAGUCCUCGACUAGUCCCUGUCCUCCACGUAGACUACAUCGUCCUGCACCAUAGUCUCCAUGUCUGACACGUCUUGGUGCACAACCCUAUAUAUGGGUCUGUCCAAAUCUUCUGAUGGGCUUGUGGAUGUAUGUACGACAAGCCUCGAGUACAUUUUAGUCAAAUGCAGCAGUCCCGAGUACCUUUACAGGCUUCAUCGACUAGUUUUUUAUGCUCUUUUGAGUACUCUGUCAAAGUUGAGCCUUCAAGUAACUCGAGUACUGCCAUGCGGCUAGAAUGCGCUCAAGCCUCAUCCGACGCUAUGUUGAAUAUCUGUCCUUGAAUUUAUAUAUGGAAGUGCGAUGAAAAUUGCACUUCAUAUGGAGUAGCCCCCGAGCCUUAGGUUGAAUCGAAGAAUCAGGCUGAGGGUCAAUCUGCAUUCGCAUUGUCUUCACUUUAAACUCCAGAGAAAAAACUUUUUAGCCGACGGGCACGUGGCACACAGCCCCCGAGCUAUUACCCGAUUAGUUUUAGGAGGUAUAAGGGUCAACCACCAGUCAUUGUGACCGUCACCAACAGUAACUUUAUCUUUUGUGGUAACUUCGGAAACUGAUGGCCAUAUGCAAAUUUUGCGACUAGUGGCGAAAACAUUAGGCCAUUACCUCCGUUUACUCCGCCUCUGUUAUAAAUAGACGGGAGAAAUUACCCCUCCUGUUUACUUUGCCAUUUGCAUCUACUAUUUGCCUUUGCUGAAAACCUUCCCCCCGAGCGCCACCACAAUCCAAUCUUAGAUCGCCAAUGCCGCCUCCCCCCCUAUCGAGCUCCCGAGCAUAUGCGCGUGAAGAGGCUUGCAACAAUCAGGAUGGGGAGGAAAGCUGCUGGUGCCAAGGGUGCUGAGGGUUCCAAGAAGGGAUCCAAAAAUGGGAAAGAGUCACAGCUGCCUCCGCCCAAGUACGGAAAGACGAACCAGAUCGCGCUGCCGAAUCAGGCCUUAGCUUGGAAGAGGUCCACCCUAAAGGAGCAGGAGAUCCAGGCCCUGUUGACGGCGAAGCUACUGAAGGAUCAAGCAGUCGUAGGGUGGCAGUGUAACUAUGGUAAUGUGUGGCCAUUUGGGAUGCACCCCGACGAGACAGUAACUUUUGCGCACUUGUUGAGCGGGGUUUUGCUAUCCGCUCAUCUGAUUUUCUUCAGGGUCUUCUGGAUUACUACAAGCUUCAAUUAGUCCACCUCAACCCAAAUGACAUCCUCCAUAUCUCUAUCAUCGUGCAUUUGUGUGAAGGUUUCUUGGGGAUUCAGCCCCACUUCCAGUUGUUCCGCAAGAUAUUCGAGGUGAAGCCGCAUCCAAGAAUGGAGCACAGUGAAGUAGUCAGAGGUGCCGGAAUUCAGAUCUGGGAGAAGAGUAGUAGUCUGUAUUUGGACUACCAAACAAUUAAGUCACACUCUGGGUGGAAGGAGAGGUGGUUCUACAUUGAAGACCACGAACCAAAGCUGCCAAAGGUGACUGGUCACUGCUUGGAGUGGAACAAUAGGUGGAUUGAUGAGCCAACGUUCGGGAGCAGUCUCCAAGUACCCGAGCUUUUAGCCAAGAUCGCCCAUCUGAACAAGCAAGGACUGACAGGCAUUGGAGUGGCCUUCAGUUUCCUGAAGAGGCGAGUACAACCCCUGCAACUCCGGCACACAUGGGGUUACGAGUACUCAGGCCUUGAUGAUCCGUCAAGGAUGUCACCUGAGGAUAUCUCCACUGAUGAAGUGAUGGCAAGGCUGAAACACAUGUUCAAGAACGUCGAUGAGAUCUCCCAAAUAGUCUUGGCAUUUAACUCCUCCAACCCACCAAGAGCAGUAUGUACCCGUGGCCGUAGCCCCCGAGUACCUAUUUGUUGUUGAUCUUCUGUUCCGAUUGGUCUCCCUUUAUGCAGGAGGAUAUACUCGUGUUCUUUUCACCCCCUCCUCCACCCGGUGCCGAUGAUGUUGAAAGUGCACCGCGAGUUUGUGGGUGGAAUAUGGCUAUAUUGGGGGCCACCCAAGAGGAGGAGGAAGAAAAAACUGAGUCCCUCAGCAACUCAAACACUGAUGCCGCUGAGGAUUUUGUUGUGCAGUAUCGUGCCUCGGACGAGGCCGGGGCAUCCUUUGGCUCAUCAAAGCGUCUUGCGGAAGAUGAGCUUGAGGCCAAUUUGGCCCCACUGCUAAGGAAGAGAUGAAUAGUUGCCAAGACGCGCACUUCAAGGAGUCUUCGCAUCGUCUAGCACGCGCCUCCACCGGUAAUAACCUUCAAGGAAGGGUAGAACCCUGAGGUGCGAGUAUGAUUGUAUAUGCAUGUUGAUCUCAUGGAUACUAAGGAUGGCAACGGGGCAGGUUCGGAUCGGGUGGAGUGCCGAGGCACCCAAAACCGAAACCCGAACCUAAAACCUGAAUUCGACCUGAAAACCGAUUUGGGUGAAAAUCCAUCCCUGAAAUCGAAAUCCGCGGGUACCCAAAACCUGAUGGAUUAACCAAAACUCGAACAUGAAUAGUACAAUAUAGUAUAACAAUCUUAAACAAUACAGUAACAGUAUAGUACAGCAACAAUUUCACUAACAAUUUCAGCAACAGUACAACAACAAUACCAGGCGCAGUACAGUAACAAUACAGGUCUUAAACACCAAGUUCAGGGACAAUACAACAACAAUUUCAUGGACAAGUUCACAGCAACAAUUUCACUGAAAUUACAAGUUCAUGGACAAGUUCAGAGAUCACAACAAUAAUUUUACUUAAAUUACUAAAAUGUUGAACGCAAUGUAAAUUCACAAGUUGAAAAUAGAAGCAAACAACAAUACCAUUUCUUCAUCUUUUUUGUCAAGACAAGUCAUCAAAACACCAACAAAAGUGGACUGAGAACCUGCAUUGAUAUAGUAUUCACAAAUUAGUUUUAUUGCUUAUCCGGAAUGAAGAACACAUACUUAUAGAAAUUGCACUUACUGACUUACCCAACAUGUCGGCAUGAGACCAUGCUUGCAUGCACAUAAGGGCUUGUAUCAUUGAUGGUGCAAGCCUACUAUGAUGUGGACUAAUUAUUCUCCCACCUGUACUAAAGACUGACUCGGAUGCCACCAUUGUCACAGGAAUAGCAAGGACAUCACGUGCAAUUUUUCGUAACGUUGGGUAUUUCAGCCCUACAUGUUGCCACCACUAAAUGAUAUCCAGCUCUUGUGUCCUAGGCAGCAAUGGCUCUUCCAAGUACAAAUCUAACUAUGUAUGCACAUAAGUGGAGGUCACAACUAGCUGCUUGGACAUGUAAUCAUCAAAAGUGUCCAUCCAAUCCUCAUCAUCCAUCUGAAUAGGAGCAUUAGGUCUAGUUUGAGCACCAUCUGUUGUGGCAACAUCCUCUAUAGCACCUUGGUAAUCCAAAACCAGAUUGCACAACAAGUCUUUCACUUUGUUGACAGCUUCCAUAGCUAAACUUUCUAACCCAUGAAUUUUGAGAAAAAGAGCAUUCAACAGUUGCAAUUUAAACCUAGGAUCUAGGAUAGCAGCAAUAACCAUCAAACCAUGCACAUCUGACCAAUACUUUUUGAACUUUUCUUUCAUUUUAAUAGACAUUUCUUCUAACUUAGGAGCAUCAUGGCUUUGCCACUUCCUAAUUGCAAAAAAAAUGUUGCAUAUUUUGGGGAAAAAAGGUUGGCUAUAACAUAUCUAGUGCCUGACAGUAGCUCAGUUACAUCAUAGAACAUCUUUAACCUGUCACAAAGAUCUAUAGCAAACUUCCAAUCAUCUUCAGAUGGAACACAUGGAGCACGAGAAGCAAGGCACUCAAAAACAUCUUGGUAAAGUAGUGCAGUGCUAAGCAUAAUAUAAGUUGAGUUCCAUCUAGUUUUACAAUCAAGAGCAAUUCUUUUUUUCAUAUUUUCCUUUCAUUUGUGCUGCCAUUUUCUCAAACUUAUCAUGUCUUUUAGGAGCGGCCAACCAGUAUGCAACACUAUCACGCACUUUAUCAAUUCCAUUCUCCAUGACACUCAUUCCAUUUUUCACAAUCAAAUUUAAAUAAGAAAACUUUUUAGCUUCCAAUCUUCAUCUAGAAAAUGGGCUAUAACUGCCAUGUAACCUUUCCUCUGGUGGUCCACGAGUCCAUAGUAACAGCAACAUGACAACUCAAUUUCUUGAUAUAAUUCACCAUAGAUUGCUUCUGCACUUGAUACAUAUCCAAGAUAUCCUUCCUAAUUGUGUUUCUAGACACUACCUUGAAUGCUGGCUGCAAUGCAGCACAAAAAUUGCGAAAUCCAAUAUGGUCCACCAUGGAAAUAGGAUACUCAUGGACAAUAAUCAUUAAAGCAAGUUCUUUCCUAGCGACAUCUUGAUCGAACACAUCUCUAUUGUGACUGUGCCAUCUUGUGGGUUUGCAGAUAAUUUAAGAGUUGAGUGUGUUAAACCUUUUCUAGUAGCUUUGUCUUGACAUACAACAAUAUGAUUCUUCAAGUGAGUUGUACCAUUUCUUAUCUCCCCACCUAAAUGGUUUUUUACACCAUUUACAUUUUGCUUUCCAAACCCCACUAACAUUAAUCAAAUCAAAGUCUUCCCAUACUUCAGAUCUUACCUUUCUCUUAGUACCAACAGGAACAUCAUCUUCUACCUCUACCACAUCAGUAUUACCUUCAGUUGCAGAAUCAGUUGCCGGUGCUGCUAAAUUGGAUGGCGGUGUUACUGAAUUGGCUGCAAGAUAUCGACGAGUUUGAGGAUGAGAACCCACAGAUUGAGAUUCUGCAGCAACUUGAGAUCCACUCGAAGCACUAGGAGCUAACAUUGCUCACUUCCUGCUGUGAUCUAAAAAAGUUUUAGGUAGCAAGACAUCAGUUCAAGACAUCAGUUGAACUAUUGAUUAUAUCACUAAGAGGACAACAAAAAAGCAUAAUAGUUAAAUUCUAACAUAGACCAAUUCCUGAAUAUUUAGAAUUGAGAAUAUUAGGUUACAGCUAGCAUUGGAAGGCAGACUAAAGAAAUAACAUACAAGAAAAUUGAUAAUUCAAACGGAGCUAACAUUGGAAGACAGACAAUAGAAUCAUGGGCUCAACUUAAACUGGAACUACACAAUCUCUGCAGGCAGAAGUUUGCCACCAAAACACUGCAAAAACCCUUUUACAAAAUUAAAUGCUGACAGGUGAAAUUAAGGGGAGCUCUUUUAGCAAAUGUUAGCCUAAUAGCACAAGACCAUCACAAAGCAUGUUGCCAUUUCUUUGGAUCAUUGCAGCAGAUAUAACCAAGCAUGGAAAAUUGUAAGCUAACUUUCAGCUGAAUCUAUUAUACCACAAUUGUCUAAUAUUCCAUUAUGUCAUAAUUCUGACAAAAAGUACCAAAACAAGCAGCACUGAGCCACUGAUCUGCGGGCGGGGUGCCAGGACGGUGGCGGGCCGCGGCCUCCUCGCGGGAUGACACACGGCGGCGGGGCCUCGCGGUCGCGGGAUGGUGCACGGUGGCGGGGCGCAGCCGGCAGUGGAUCCGGCGGCGGGACGGCGCACAGAGGCGGGGCGCGGCCAGCAAUGGAUCCGAUGGCGAAGCACAUACGCGCAGGCGGCGGGAUGUGUGUGGGAGAGGUGAGGCCGCGCGAGACUGCCGAUGGCGACGAGCGACGGCGGCGGGGUAGGGGACUGGGGGUGCGGCGUGCUGGACUGUGGGAGGUGCCGAGUGUGGCACUGCGGUCGUGGCACCAUGCGCCCAUGCGGGGUGCCUAGACGCCUGGGUGGUGUAUCUUGCCGUUAUAUACCUAGGGUUCCUAAUGGGCCUUUAGUGGGCCGAAUUGUUUUGGGUACCCGAUGGAGCUCCGCGGUUAUUUUAAAAACCCACACCAAACCCGCAGUAUUUCGGGUAUCCGAACUUGAAAAACCAUGGGCGAAAACCAGGAACCAAAACCAAAACCCACAGACCCGAAACCCAUGGAUAUCUGCCCCGAAACCGAACCGCUGCCAUCCUUAAUGGCUACUAAUCAAGCCUUUGUUGUAUUUGCAGGUAGUCGACAAUGUAGUUGAGGCGACGGAGGUGGUUGCUGGUGCCCUCCCGUUGGAAGUUCCAUCCCCCGGGGAGGUCGUUGAAGUCAGUGAUAAUCAAGAACCCCCCGCUGUUGAAGUUAACCCUGCCGGUACUGAAGUACCCGCGCAGGAAGAAGACAGGACUACCCUAGCUGGCAGUAGUCAGUAAGCACCUCCACGUGCCUCGCCAGGAGAGUUCACCCCUACUGUCCAGCCGCUACGCUUGGUGGGGAACCCGUCACUAAAGCUGCGGUGAUCCACAAGGUAAGCAUUUUGUUGUUGUAUGAGUACUAAUUCUAGGUUGAGUACUUGGUUGUCUUCCGUCGCUGACGCUAAGUGUUGUGCAAGACGUCUUCUAGCCUGGGCCUUGGGUCAUCGGGUUCAAGGUCAACAAUCGAUGAUGUUAGCCGCUCGGUUGAAGAUGCACCUCCCGCGCCUACUGUAGCCCUAACGGAGAGAGAUUUAGCUCCGACGGUCGAGACAGGUGCCGCAUCACUUGUCGCUGUGUUGAUGCAUGACAUAAUCAACUCGAUGGCUGACAUUGCAGUGCCAGCCCCCGAGCCUGCUGUACCCGGGGCUCUUCCCAUGGCUAGUCUUGUGGAGAGUCCACCCCCGCCUGUGAUCGUGGAAGUUAUCCCCAUCAACGCUGCUACUCCCGAAGCCCCUGAGCUUGAAGCAAUUAGAGCUCUUGAAGCCGUGGCUGCUGCUGUCAGGAUGACUUCCGAAGCCAGCACAUCAUCUGGCUGUGAGAUGGUUCUUGUGCCCAGCGUGAGGAUCGAGUUGAGCAUUGGGAUUUAGGUGCUGCCUGAGGAGGUCCAGCUGAUUGACGAUCCUCUGCUAGAUGCGCAAAUGAUGGCCACCAUGCUCGAGAUGAACCGACGCGUCACGUCUUACAUUAAGGUAAGUUUGAAUUUUUGCCUUAUGCUUCACUUCUGAAUGUCUGCAAUAUGUACUUCGUGCGGUACCCGAGUACUGAUUUGUGGAUAACAGGACUUGAUCAACCGCUCUCGCCGGAAGUCCCAGUUGCUGCAGGACUGUGGUGAGACCGUACAAUGUGCUGAGGCAUUGGAGAAAGAGCUGGCUAAAGAGGGACAGCAAAACUCCCAGCUCGUCAUGAAACUUGACAGAUCGGUGGUGACUUUUCGGGCGCAGGUGCAAGACUUAGAAAAGGAGAAAGAGCGCCUUGUUGCCCGGAAUAAGUCAUUGAGCCAGAAGCUUGAAGGUGAGUACUCAUCUUUUUGUUGUGUCCGUCUAUUGAUAGCCUGUAGUAUUUUUGACUGAUUUUUGGUCUCUGUUGUGCAGAGUAUAAGAAUCAGGAAUCCCAGUUGAAGGCUACCAUAACUAAUUGGCAGAAUGCCUACUACCGGACCAUUGAUCAACAUGAGAGGCUGGGGCAGCAGGUGUCCGAGCUGGAGCGCGACUUGGAGAAAGAGAGGAAGAUGCGCCAAGAUGGUGAAGUUGAAUUGAUCAAUGUCAUGAUGACCAUCCAGGCGCAACAAGUCGAGCUUGGGGCCUGUAAGCUGGAGUUGCAAAGCUGUUUGCGGUAGCCCGACCCUUGGCUGAUAUGUGGAGCCUCCGGUUGAUGGCGUGGAUCCUUGUCCACUGGUGGAGAGACUCCGAGAUGCACCGGGGAAGAUCACAGGCUACGUCUAAGGGAUGGCGAAGUCCAUCUCGAAACAGUUGCUGACCUUCAUAAAGUCCUACCUGACGCUGACUUGUCUCCUAUCGCGGAGGGGAUAGUGGGAGACUGCACGGACGAAGUCUUCCAGCAAUAUCUGCAAGAGAUGGAUCCCAUUGUCGAGGAAGUCGCCAAGCAUCUGGACCUACAAUGAACUCCUUACCUUUUGGGAUAGAAAGAACACUUAGUUUUGUAAUGGGAUAAAUGUGUAGAUAACUCUAAGUCUAAAUGCAAUUUGUUGCUAUCGACUUGUCGUCUGUCAUGUUUAGUGCUUCUCACACUUGGUCCUAAUUUUGCUCAUACGACCGAGGUGAGUGUCUAUGCACAAGGCUACUAUUGUGAGCCUCUUCGGAAGCAAAUUGUUGGAUACUCGGGUACUCGAGCUAUCCAGUAGUGGUCAUCAGCUAGUUUCUCCAGGAUUCUGCUGACUAGGGCUUGUUUCCUCGACUCCCCUGAGUAGAGUAUUUUCAUGAUUGCUGCUUUGUCAGGAGGGCCACAUGGGAGUACUACUCGCCCGUGUCCAGUUGACAAAGACGAGCAACAUGUGAACACUGGUCGUCAGAGUCCUGACGGUAAGGAUAGGCGUCACAUGAACACUGUAUGGGUGUGAUGUGCAUAGGGAGCUCUGCCGUGCAUUCACAAGAGCAUAUUGUAGCACUCUGGAUGGUAGUUGGCUGCCUUGGCUUUAAAUAGAGCUGCAUCUGCAUCUAGAGUGUUCAUGGCUCAAGUUAUAGCACAGGUUGGCUUGAGGUUUUUGUUGUUCAUCAGGGGUAGCUUCCACCAUAUUUUCUAAUGCUAGAAGAAUUCUUGUGAAGAAUACACAGGUGCUCCUUCCCUCUACAGUCUCUUUGGCCUAGCCUAAAGGCUAUAAUGCUAGAAGAAUCCUCAUGAGGAAGGUGCAUCGUGUGCCCCGGGCUUUGUCCAGGAUACCGCUAAGAAUGGACUAGAGUGUAGCUUCCUUGAACGCAGGUUUCUUGCAUUCACUCUUUUUUCUUCUUCCACGUUGAAGCUGCUUGUCCUGAGGUUAGGGUAGUCCCGGGACUGGUCACACACACUUUGUGAUAUUGUAAAAGCCUAGGACUUCUGUUGUAACCUUAAUGAAAGCAUGUAUGCCUUAUUGAUGAGAUGUUGCUAUCUUGUUUCUUUGUCUUGUUUUGUUGCUGUACCUUGGGAAUCUGGAGCUGCAAAACUCAUUAGUAUGAGCCACAUUAAGAUAGAUUUGUAGUAAAUAAGUAGUCGAUCAGGUAGUUUGUGGACUCCUAGACGACUUGAUGGCUCUUGCGUUGCUAGUUCGCUAAGCGAACUGCCUAGGUGAGUUGAAUAACUCAUGUAGACUUAUAAUUAAAAGUCAUACUGGGGCGUUGUGGCCCAAGGAGCUCAAUGGCUCAUUAGGAUGCUGCUGACCCACUUUUGCAAGCCGCAAUAGGGGAGAGAAUAAGUAGUCGAAUUUCACCGAAGAUAACUGCAUUAUUAUGCUAAAAACUUAUAACGGUGGCCAGUGGCCUAUUUACAAUGCUGUGUAGUCUUCUAACUACGGAUAGAAUCGACAUAGAUGCUCGAUGUUCCAUGAGUUGUUGACAUUUUUGCCAAAAAGGUGUUGUAGCCUAGGCUUGUGACCUUGGAUACGAUGUACGACCCUUCCCAUGGUGAAUUAAGCUUGUGCAACCCCUUAGUGUCUUGGAUACGCUUAAGGAACAUGUCGCCUAUGCUGAAAGAACGUUCUUUGAUGUUGCGAUCAUGAUAGCAGUGAAGACCCUCGAGGUACCUUGCAGACUAGACGAGUGCUGCACAUCGGGAUUCUUCUAGGCUGUCAAGAUCUAGAUGUCUUGUCUCCUUUGUUGCCCCUUCAUCGUAUUGCUCAACUGUUGGGGAUUUCCACAUAACAUCAGCAGGAAGGAUAGCUUCCGAUCCGUAGACCAGGAAGUAGUGCGACUGCCUCGUAGGUUUGCACGACUGAGUAUGUAGCCCCCAGAGGAUGUUGGGUAGUUCUUUGAGCCAUUUGCCUCCUUUGGUGUUACCAAUAUCGUGCAAUCUUUUCUUCAAGGCUUCCAGUAGCAUCCCGUUGGCGCGCUCAACCUGACCAUUGGCCCACGGGUGAGCAACAGAGACGUAUCGAACAUUGAUGUCACUAUUUUCACAAUACUCCUAGAACUCGUGGUUGUUAAAAUUGGAACCCAAAUCUGUGAUUAUCUGAUUGGGGAAUCCAUAGCAGUGGAUGAUCUCAUCGAGGAAGUUGAGUACUCUAUCUGCCUUGGGGUAGGUUGUUGGCUUGACCUCAACACACUUGGUGAACUUGUCGAUGGCUACCAAUACUCGGUUGAAUCCUUCGAACACUGUAGGAAGUGGACUGAUCAUAUCAAGCCCCUAGCAUGCAAAGGUUCAUGUUGGCGGUAUGGUGAUAAGCUUGUAUGUAGGGGCAUGGUGCUACUUGGCGAAGAAUUGGCAACCCUAGCACCGGCAAACUAGUUCUUCAGUGUCCGCUAGGGUGGUGGGCCAGUAGAACGCUGCUCUAAAAGCCUUCCCCACAAUUGUGCGUGAGGAUGCGUGGUUACCGCAAAUGCCCUUGUGUAUCUCCUCCAAUAUAUCAUUGCGGUCAUGACGUGUGACGCACUUCAUGAGUACUCAUGAAGACGCGCCUCUUCUGUAUUGCUCUACCCUUAAUAUGGGUUAAACAUUCAACAAACAUGUUUAUGUUUUCUUGAAUAGCAUACCAGCGGUGUAUGAGGGAACUUCGAGUACAAUCUACGUAAUUCGUGUAUAUGCUUGGAAUUAAAUCAAGUAAUUCAUGGCAAAAAGUUAUCCUCUUUUUGUUGUGGUGUAUUUAUCUUCUUGAGCAUGCUGCAACUUUUUUUUUGAACGAGCCAGCAGGAGAGCUGCUACUAUAUUAAAAAAGCGAAGGAAUGCCCGACGGGUGAAGUACAAAAGUUCUAUACAUACUGCACACGCACAUCCCAAAGCAAAAGGGAAAACGAGAGUGUAAAAAAAAUUCGAUACUACAGAUCCCUCACCACAUUAAUGAAGGACUCUAGGUGCUUAGCACCUGCCACAAUCCAUAUAGCCCCCUGGUCUUUGAUCUUAUUUACCGUCGGAUGUAUCGUCUGCUCCUUUUUUUAAAAAUCCUGGCGUUUCUUUCAUUCCAAGUUUCCCAUAGGACGAGAAUAAUUAAGCUUCGCAGCCCUUUCCUGCUGGCCACCUGAGCGGACGCCAAAGCUGUCCACCAACUAUGUAGAGGCUCAUGUCCAUCCCAGUGGCCUGGGUCAAUAUAAGCGCAUCGUGUCUAUGCACCCAUCUCUGCCCAUAUUGUCUUUGUAAAAGAGCACUCUCUGAAAAGAUGAAGACCAGUCUCUUGAGUUAUGUUACAAAGUGUGCAUUGCGGCCAGUUAGGCCAUCCCCAUCUCUCCAGGCAAUCCGCUGUCCAUAUUCUGUCUUGUACGGCUAGCCAGCUAAAAAACUUACACUUCGGCGGCACCCACAUUUUCCAAAUGAUGGUGUCGAAGUUAGUUGUCAUUGAUCCUAAGAAUUGAGCUUGGUAGGUAGAUUGCGAAUUAUAAUGUCCAUCCGUCGUAAUUUUCCAUACGAUGGUGUCCGGCUGAUCCGGGCGUAGCUGUAUCUGAUUGACUGCAACCCAUAGACGGUGGUACUCUACAAAAUGUGUCACAGAGAAGCCGCGGUGUAGUAGGUUUAAGUCUCGUAUCCAAACAUCAUCGAUCAUAGCAUCGUGCAGGGUCCUAUUCUUCGUCCUGGAGAUAUUGAACAAAUUCGGGGCCAUGUCUCUCGACGUCUGUCCCUGUGCCCAACUGCUAUGCCAGAAGGAUGCUUUCUUGCCAUCCCCAAUUGUGAUCGUGGUUGCCGCGGCAAAAAGUUUGUGGUCUACUUGUGAGCAAGGAAUAUCCCGUUGGUCUGAGAGCGGACCCUCAUUCAUCAAGUCAUGCCAAAGCCACCGUAGAUGCAACGCUCGAGCGAAUUUUGCUAGGUGUAGGAUCCCUAAGCCGCCUCCUUUCCUCGGCGUUGCUGAUCGCACCCAGUUUACUUUGCAUUUACCGCUCGUGAUGCGUUCAGUUCCCACCCAUAAGAACUGUUUUCUCUUUUCAUCAAUGCUCUUCAUAAUUUCUUUAGGCGCCUUCAAGGCUGUCAAUAGGUACACCGGUUGAGAAGUCAGCACGGCCUUGACGAGCGUGAGUCUGCCGGCCACAGUCAUGUUCCUUUCAUUCCAACUGGUAAGUUUCCCAAUAAAUUUGUCCACUAGAGGUUGGAAGUCAACAGUCCUUAGGCAUUGUGUGGACAAUGGAAGGCCUAGAUACUUGAUAGGGAAUAAUGUGCGCUUGGUAGGUAGGUUAUGCACAACUUCAUUGAGUUGUACUCCCUCACAGCGGAUAGGGACGGCCGUUGAUUUGUGGAAGUUUGUUUUGAGCCCUGUUACUUCACCAAAUCCAUCCAGGAUGUUGACCAGUGCAUCUAUUUCCUCCUUCCUCGGUGCUAUAAAAUCAUCACGUCAUCAAUAUACAUUGAUAUAUGGCAUGAUGGUGUCCGGCCACGUAGUUUGGUAAGAACUCCCAACUCAGUUGCCAGCUCCAAAAUCCUUUGAAGUGGAUCAAUCGCUAUGACGAAGAGUAGCGGAGACAAAGGAUCACCUUGACGUAGUCCCCUACCUUGCGUGAUAGGUUGGUUAGGACCCCAUUUAGAAAGACGCGGGUGGAGGAAGUGGAGAGAAUCAUCACGAUCCAGUCACACCAGCAUGUCGGGAAGCCUAGGUGUUGUAGAAGCGAGGGGAGAUAGUCCCACCUAAUGGAGUCAAAGGCUUUCGCAAUGUCCAGCUUGAUGAAAAUGGCAGGCACUCUCUCUCUCUCUGUGAUACCACCUCGCUGUGCUACGCACCAUCAUGAAGUUGUCAUGUAUACUGCAUUUCUUGAUGAAAGCACUCUAGCAUUUAGAGACGAUGGAGUUCAUGUGCGGUUGCAGCCUAAUCGCCAAUGCCUUAGUGAUGAUUUUGAUGAAAGAAUGGAUGAGGCUUAUGGGCCUGAAAUCCUGGAUGCAAUCUGCUCCCUCUUUUUCGGUAAAAGGAUAAUAUUAGCCGUGUUGAUUAGCUGGAGGUUGUUGCAGCGGAGGGCGUAGAACGCAUUUACCGCUGCCAUCACAUCGUUCUUGAUGAUAUCCCAACAUGAUUUUAGGAAGAGUCCUGUGAAUCCAUCAGGCCCUGGUACUUUAUCACUCUGCAUGUUUUGAAUGGCAUAUUUGAUUUCAUCUUCGGAGAAGGCCAAGUCUAGGGAAGCUAGGUUGUGCUGGUUCAGUCCCAGGAGAUCCCAAUUAAAAUCCCGACGUCGGGGUUGAGGGCAUUGCAUUGUUGCUUUGAAAAAAAUUUGAAUCUCAUUUGCUUUUUCUUCGUGUGUACAUGCCCAUCCACUCCCCCUCCUAAGUUUCUGGAUGUAAUUUUUACGUCGCCUAGAGUUGGCCCAUCGGUGGAAAAAACGUGUGUUGGCGUCACCUAGCCUGAGGUUUGUUAUUCGGCUUGCUUGCUUCCUACAUGCUCGUUCAAUAACCGCAAGUCCCAUGACCCUUAAUUUGAGGCGGUUGCGCAGUGGCUGCUCUGCAUCCGUAAGAGGUCGGUGCUCUUGCGUAGUGUCGAACCGUAGAAUGACUUCUAGAGCCAUAUUCAUUAUCAUCUUCAUGUCUGGUAUGAGCCUACUGCUCCAUUCUCUUAAUUGGGCGGGCAUAUGUUGUAAUUUGUGAUACAGCCUGUGGAAUGGCUCAACGUGUAGCGAUUGGACGCUCCAUGCUCGGCCUACAGUGUCUUUAAAACCUGGGAGCAUUGUCCAAAAGUUUUCAAACUUGAAGGAUUUGGGGCGUCUGGAGCCACCUUGGUUUGAUAGCAAGAGUGGGCAAUGGUCGGAUAACGACAUUGACAGAGCGUGCAACACGUGCUUAUUGAAGGCCUGUUCCCAUUCGUCAUUGGCGAAAACCCUAUCCAGCUUGACAAGGGUCAGGUUGCGUCGUUCAUUACUCCAGGUGUACCUUCUGUUUUGGAGAUGUAUCUCGCAUAAGUCACAAUCAUCGAGCGCCCGUUUGAAUGAGUUCAUAAGUCUUGGGUUGAUCUUGUUGUUGUUUCUAUCAGACGCUUUAUAUAUCAGAUUGAAGUCGCCUAGUACCAGCCAUUGGGAACCGGCGCUAGGUUUUUGUUGCCGAAUUUCUGUUAGGAAGUUUGCUGUCCUGGUAGAACCGGUAGGGCCGUAGACUGCUGUCAAAGUGAAUUCGUUCAUCGCUUGUUGCGUUGUCACUCUUGCCGUGAUGUGGUACUCUCCUACAACAACGUCGUUUAUCAUGACAUGAUUACUGUUCCACAGUAGCAGGAUGCCUCCUCUUGUGCCACUCGGCCCCCUGCUGGUUUGUAGAUGAAUCUGUCAAGUCUAUGCCCUCCUAGGUACGCGGCCGUGAAAAGAUCAAUCUCGCUAAGCUUUGUUUCUUGUAAACAUGCAACGUGGCAUAGAGUGUCAGCAAGUGUCUCCCAGACCGUGUCACGCCUGGCUCUGUGGUUAAGCCCUCUAACAUUCCAGCAUAAUAUCUCAAUGUUCAUUUGCAACUUUUGUAGUCUCCAGUAUUGCAGGAUAGUGGUUGAAGAAUGAUGAUCCCCAAUGCAUUAAGAUCUGAAUUUGGUCCAUGUAAAACAGUGUGCCGGCAAUGACAGUUUCUCUGUACUUUGUAAGCCCUUCAGGAACGAGGUCUGAUAUGAGCUUAGCAAAACCAACAUCGCCAAUUUUGCUUACAUAAUUCUUGUCCAGCAAGAUGUUUCCAGGCUUUAGGUCACGAAGGACGAUAGGCUCUGGUUUCGUUCCCUGCAAGAAAGCAAACCCACAAGAUACCUCAAACAUAAUUUGGAAUCGCAGAAGCCAAUGGAGUGGAUGCCCUUUAUUGUUGAUCAAUUGGUCUUCUAGACUCUCAUUCUUAUCUGAAAUUAACAGAAGCAUUACAGGAGGCGCAGCAGGUACAUAAGGCUGAUAUAAUAGAUGCAUUUCGUCGACUCAACUGUUAUUGAAGCGCAGGAGCAUAAUAGAACCAGGUACUACAGAAGCAGGUACAAAAGCCUGAUAUAAUAGUAGCACAUCAUCAACUCGACUAUGAUUGAAACGCAGGAGCAAAAUCGACAGAGGCAUUACAGAAGCACAGGCUGAAUGUAAACAAAGGUCGAUGUAAGCAUAAUUGAUGGCCCAACUCAGGUGUCUGGUUCUAGGAUUACAACCAAAUUGAGAAGAUGCAUAUGCUGAAGGUGAACACACAAUGAUGCAAACAUAGCUGCUAGCCCAUGUCAUCUGUCCGGCUUUAGGCUUACAAACAAAUUGGAAAGACACAUUGAACAUCUGGAGAUUGUGGAUGGUUUUUGCCCUGGAAAGUAACUGAUACACUGCACUUAACAUUGGUGGCUUGUGAACUCUCGGUGCUGCUGGAGACGCAGAUCAGUUGGCCUGUUGGAUGGUUGCUGCCUGGGCAGGCAUUGCCUGGACAGCUUCUGGCUAGCGUGAGGCUUCUUCCUGGAAAUCUUCAAUGGCUUCACCGGCCACCGCCGCCAUGGCUUCAUCAAGCUGCUCGACCACUGGGCCGUUGAGGUUGAAGAUGGCUGUCAGCGCUGCAAUGAUGUCCUGCGGCACCGGCCCCUGGAACAUGGACAGAUUUUCCUGCAGUGCAACCUCGAUGGGCUGCAUCUCAUCAGUUAGCAGACCAAGCUUUUUACAUAGAUUAUGUUGUGCCUGUUGCAUCGCUGGCAUGGGUCUGCGGGUAGCUACCUUGCGCUGCAGCGUACCGUGGACAUGUCGAAGAUGCGUCGCGGUCGGCGGGUUUUGUUCGUCCCCUCCUUGAGCUGUUGGUUCUGCUCGUCCCUGUGUUCCUCCACUGGAGGUUCAUGGAGCACUUGUGCCGGCGUGGUGAAGAAUGUGUUGAUGAUGUUGGUGCUGCGUGGGCUGCUGCGUUGCAGCGCCGUUGUGGUGGAGAAGGUGCUGGCGAGGUUGUUGCUGCUAGGACUGUUGUGCUCCGGAGUUCUCUACCCUGCAGUCGGCUGAAGGUUGAAGUCAUUGUCAUGCUCACUGCCGGCGUGAAACAGACCUGCCUCGCCAUCGGUGUUGUUGGUUGGCUACAUCUGUGCAUCAUGAAGGCGAACAGGGGAUGCAAGUUGAAACGGUGAAACAGAAACAUUGUUAAAACACGGUGAGUCUGGUUGCUGGCCAUGGCCUUCCAGCUGAACCUGUAGCUUCUGUAGAGCCGCAUCCACCUCUUGAACAGAGAUGGCAUUGACGUUGACUCCCCCCUCCUUCUGGACGUCCUCCAGGAUGCGUGCGAACACAUGAGGCACCUUGACCAUGGACAGGUCAUUAUUGGCUUCCGUAUGUCCGCGCGCUUCGGACCAGGCUUCAAUUCCUUCAUGUGGUAGGCCAACCUUGUCCACCAGGGUGGCCGCUUUGCUGCCAUGGUCGAGGGAGAUGGUGUUCAGGUGUAGCUCUUCCCUGUCCUCCCCUUCCUAAAACAUGCACAGAAAAUUCUUGGUGGCCUCCGCCAUUGUGGAGGCGCGGUUGGAGAACAGAAAUUUGUAACUCGAUGGACUUCCUGUCGCGCAGGGGGGGCAAAGGAUAACGGCGGCGGUGGCAUGGCGUUGUCGCAGUUGGAGAUGUCGUGGUGCUGACGCCCCCUAUUCCUGCUGCUGCCACCCCACGUCCUGCUCCUAGGCGAGCAUUCACGCUCACGGUAGGAGUCGUUGCCCAGGUGUUUGCGCGUGUCGUGGCCGCGGUGAGCGCGGUCACCGCGCCCAUGGUGUUCCUGGUCAUCGUUGUCGUCCUUCCUCUAGUGCCACACGUUCCACCUGGUGUUGUGGUGGUCAUUGUUGUGGCUUCUUCGAUGACGGCCACGGUCCUCUCUGUCCUAGCGCCGUUCCUCCUCCCCCGCCACGCUGCUUUGGCCAAGUCGAGGUUGGUCCGGGCGUGGUGGCGAGCGUGUCCUUGCUUCAUGUUCCAUCGCCCUGCGUGGUGCCAUCUCCCCGUCGAUGCAGUCGAGAUGCCAGGGAGGAAGCCGGCGGACUGCAGGCGUGCAUGACGUCCUGUCAUCGAGGUUGACCGAGGAGAGGGUGUAGUCUUGGAUCUCCUCUAGGUGCAGGAUGACGCAAUGCUUGAUGCCGCGCUGCCACUGGUCGGGCGGCGCCUUGGACACCAUCACUGACUCCAACCUGGCAUCCCACGCGCGGCCGGUGAACUUGAGCCACACGCACUUGGGGAUAGAGCUUGGGUUCGCCGUCCAGGCCCACAGGUUUAUGGUCUUCGUCUCCUUUGGGUGGUCGAGGUUGGUGUCGUGGCCUCCAGUGCGCAGGUGUUGCCGAUGAUGCUCUCCGCGAUAUCUGCCCUCCAGGCAUGCAUAGGCACGCCAUCGAGACAGAGCCUAACUCUGAAGAGGAGAGUUGCUCCUUCUGCAUCCCGGAGGCUCCUCCACUUGGUGAAGAGGACCUCGAUGUCGGCGCCCAUUGCCUUGCCCCUCUGAAGCGCCUCGGAGCAGUGGCUGCUGUGCUUGAACUUGAUAAGGAACGCUUCAGGGAAGUGACAUGAAACAGUUACCUCGCUGUGGCGCAGCUUGAAGUCUUCUCUGAUGGCCCUCUCGACGUCCCGUGGUUCAACUGGCUCCCAGCCGUGGACCGCCAGGUGACCGCCGCCGUGGAGUCCCAGUCCCGCAGAUCGGCGUCGAUGUCGUCGGUGGACUGAACGAGGCAGUCCACCUGCUCUAGCUUGGUUGCAGUGUCUCCGAGUCUAGACAUGUUGGUCGUGGAGGUGGGCGUCGGCAGUGGAGGAAGUGGAGAUGAAGCCCGAACGCGGUGCGCUGCUUGGUGUCAAGCAAGAGCAGGUGGAGCUCUGUUGCCGCUUGUGCUUGGUCGAUGGGGAGGUGGAGCUCUGUUGUCGCAUGGUGCUGCUUGGUGGCGAGCAGGAGGCGGGCUGUAGUUGCUGUGGCGGUUGUUGGAGCAGGAUCUUGCACGGUGGCUGAAGCGAUGGCAGACGAAGCAACGGCCGGGGUCCCGACAAGACGCAGCGCGGUGGUCGGGGGCCAGGCAGAUGAAGCAGCACCCUUCUUGCCUGGAAGGCGCGUAGACUUGGCGAAGCUGGAUGCUGCUGCCGGGUGCUGAGAGGCGCGAUGGCCGGCAAGUUGAAAGCGCCCCCCUCUACCACCAGUAAGGUUGCCUGACGGGCAUCCAACCAUCUUGAGCAGUGAAUGCGCGCCGGUCAGCUCAGGCGCGGCUCCAGAGGUGGCCGGACGGUGAGUGGUUGAAGAGGGGGAACCGCGGCUGUUGGAGUAACUGCGGGCAGCUUCAGUAAUGGCGGCCUACCGGUCUUGAGGUUGCUACACGAUUUGAAAUGACCUUGGCGAAUCUUGCACCGCGGAUCCUCUGACCACUUGCACGAAGGAGCGGCGGAACGGUGGGGAGAAGCCCUGCUGCGCCUCCGGUGUGUCCUGCACAAAGGGGCUUACCUGGGAUGCAACACCGGCAAUGGAUUUGUGGGCAGGGGAUCUUGGAGGGGCGGAUGUGCUCAGAUCUGGUUGAGAUUUGGAUUUGGUAUUUGAUUUGGUGGGGGGGAAACGGGGAGGGCCAAGCAGCCGCGGAGGUCCUGGGAGCAGCGUGCUGCAACUAGUAAGUAUUAAAUUUGACGAGCCUGGCACGACCAUGCAUGACCAUCACUGGCCAGUGGUCACAAACAACAAUUGACGGGUAGUGCCAAGUGCCAGCGCAUGCGCCCUCACCAAAUCCCUUGUCUCCGUGCUCUUGCAGUUGCAGCGCCUGCAGUUUAUAACGUGGGAACGAACAUUCCUCACAUCUUCGCAUAGUAUGUCCGUAGUAUGCGUUUGGGCAGUGCCUUGGCUGGCAAAAAUAUAAUGUACUCCUACAAAGUUAGUCUAGUCUUGACUCUUUUUUUAACAAAGGUUAGCUAACCUAAUUUUCUAAAAGAAAAGGGUUUGAAAGCAAUAGGCCAUUAGCCGCCAGAUAGUGCCACUGGCAUGUCGCCGUCGUCGGCACGAGCAGGUAUCAGAGAAAAUAAACCGAUGAUCAGCAGGGUCAUGGAAACUUGGGCAGGAAGAAAGUCCUCCUCCGGUCUCCAUUUAUAAGUGGGAGCAUUUAUUUUUAAAAUUUGCACUUGACUUGCCACCAUUUGGUCCUCCUCCGGUCUCUAUUUAUACUCCACCCAUGCCAGAGAGAGCCUCCAUUUGUCUCUCUCCCUUUGGCAACUUAACGCCAUGGACAGAGGGAGCCUGGGCUUACUUGUUCCCACGAGGACGCACGAGAGGCUCCACCACGGUGGCUUGCUCCACAACUCGUCCAGUAAGCCUCAAAUUAUAUAUCCCUGCACCAGCAAGCAACCUUCUCUUAUUAGUAUCCGUAGAGAUGCUUCCUCGAGUCGGCCUAGCAUCCUCAUAAAGUCUUCCCAAAAUAUAAGACAUUCUAUGGUUUCUAUAGUCACGUUUGAUUAUUUUGUUUUUUGUCACUUGCCUUUCUUAAAUAAAUAAAUAUAAACAAGUUUUUUCACAAACCCGUACCAACUUUGUUAGCAAAAGCAGUUAACACGGUUUAUUAAUUAGAGAGGAACUCCGCACAAAGUUAUCUUUAUCUUUUCUACCGACUCGUUACACCCAAAUUCAUGGCUAACAAAGACUGAACAAUAAAACAGGUUUUUUAUAAAAGGAUAAAGGCUAUAUAUCCAAACAACCCCUAGUUCAUGAUCAGAGCACUGCCGAGAAGUUUUAAAUAUAUCCCCAACCAGCAGCUGAUGAAAUAAACCUGAGAAAGAAUUGAAUAGUAAAAAUAUUUCCUUUUCUUCUUGAAAAGCUCUGCAAGUUACAAGAAAAAACAAGAUCAGUUUGAAAAUCGUUGGAACAACAGCAUGUCAAAAUUUCAAUCCUUAAAUGUAGUUGAUUGCUUCUUUUUCUUGAGCACUGAUGACAUGAACAGUAGUUACUAACUCCUAUGUAAUACUUGCAAGAGAGAAAUACAAAUUAGUAAACUAAUUCUGCCUUUCUUUGUUUUUGACAAACAAAUUUUGGAAUGCUAUAAUGCAGAUCCCACUAUGUUGCAAUAUUUGCGAGAAUGGCCAGAGCUAUAUUCACCUAGCUUCUGGAUGGGUGCUUUUACAUUGAUGCAACUGAUAUUCAUCAUAAGUAUGUCCAGUCAAUAUCUGCUCAACCAAAUAAGUUGGUGCAGACAGAGAUUGAAGAUUGCAGCUCCUGAUGAGCACUCAUAUCAGGACCAAAAGAAUACAGUCAUAAAGCAGGGUGUAUCAUAUCAAGCAAGCAAAGCAUGCUGCCUGCUUAUGUUAGCAGUUCAUAUUCUGCGGGUAUUCUUAUUGCAGUUCAAUGAAAGACUAAGUAAUUGCAUGUAUCCAUCUUGUGUGCUAAGUGAAGGCUUGCAGGUGUUAUCCUUCAUAAUAUUGUCAAUAGCAGUAUUCAAUUUUCAGGAAACAAAAUCUACUAAACUACCAUUGAUAGUUCGAUCAUGGUGGAUAUUAAACUUUCUGCAAUCAAUUACCAUGGUGGUAUUUGAUCUCAGAUCAAUUUUAUCGGAUCAUGAACACAUAGGAUACAAAAAAUGGACCAAUCUGUUCAAUCUUGGUGUUUGCACUUAUCUGUUUGCAGUUUCAGCCAGAGGAACAACAGGGAUCAGGAUAACUUUCACAGAUAGCAGCAUAACAGAGCCACUUUUGACCCCAUCUGUAGGACAGCAGAUGGAAGCUGAAAGGACAUGUCUAUAUGGAAGGGCAGGUAUUCUACAACUUAUCACAUUCUCCUGGAUGAAUCCUAUCAUUGCUACUGGAUACAGGAAAACUCUAGAUCAGAAUGAUGUGCCAGAUCUUGAUGGGAAAGACUCUACCGAGUUCCUCUCUGAUUCGUUUAAGAAAAUCAUAAAUGAUGUUGAACACAGGCAUGGUAUAGGUACUUCAUCAAUAUAUACAGCAAUGUUCUUAUUUGUUAGACGGAAAGCAAUGAUCAAUGCAGCACUUGCUGUGCUAAGUGCCAGCGCAUCCUAUGUUGGACCAUCAUUGAUUAACGACUUGGUGAAGUUCCUUGCAGGAGACAGGCAAUAUGGACACAAAAGAGGUUACCUUCUUGCUUUAGCUCUUCUAAGUGCUAAAGUUGUAGAAGCAAUAGCAGAGAGUCAGUGGUGGUUUGGAGCUCAACACCUCGGGAUGCGGCUCCGAGCUGCUUUGAUAUCUCAGGUCUAUCAAAAGGGACUCCAGUUAUCCUUCAGUUCGAGGCAGAAGCACAACAGCGGAGAGAUCAUAAACUACAUGGAUGUAGAUAUACAAAGGAUAUCUGAUUUUUUAUGGUACACAAACUACAUAUGGAUGCUACCCAUUGAGCUCUUUCUAGCUGUCUAUGUUCUCUAUCAAAAUCUAGGGGCUGGGGCCUGGGCUGGUUUAGCAGCAACACUGGCAGUAAUGGCUUGCAAUAUUCCGCUAACCAGCAUGCAAAAAAAGUUGCAAGCCAAGAUCAUGGCUGCUAAAGACGAGAGAAUGAAGGCAACAACAGAAGUUCUUAGAAGCAUGAAAAUACUGAAACUUCAAGCAUGGGAUAUGCAGUACCUUCAAAAGAUAGAGGCUUUGCGAAGCGAGGAGUACAAGUGGUUAUGGAGAUCUCAGAGGUUGUCGGCUUUGACAACACUUGUGUUUUGGGGGGCACCUGCGUUUAUAUCCUCUGUAACAUUUGGCUCAUGCAUAUUGAUGGGGAUUCCUCUAACUGCUGGUAGUGUUUUGUCUGCCCUUGCAACAUUCCGGAUGCUACAAGAUCCAAUCUUCACACUUCCUGACUUGCUUUCAGCGUUUGCUCAAGGUAAAGUUUCAGCAGAUAGAGUAGCAAAGUACCUACAGGAAGAAGAACUGAAAUGUGAUACAGUUACACAAGUGCCAAGAAGUGACACAUGCUAUGCUGUGGAGAUUUAUCAAGGAACAUUCAGCUGGGAACUUGAGACCACUUCUCCAACUCUCACAGAUGUAGAGUUAAGAGUAAAGAGAGGGAUGAAAGUAGCUAUCUGUGGAAUGGUCGGCUCUGGAAAAUCCAGUCUAUUGUCAUGCAUACUUGGGGAGAUGCCAAAGCGAAACGGGACUGUCAGAGUGAGCGGGAGCAAAGCAUAUGUUCCUCAAACUGCCUGGAUCCUGUCCGGGAAUAUCAGGGACAACAUUCUAUUCGGAAAUCCAUAUGACAAAGAAAAGUAUGAAAGGAUAGUACAAGCUUGUGCACUGACUAAAGAUAUUGAAAUGUUUGCAAAUGGAGAUUUGACUGAGAUUGGUGAAAGAGGAAUAAACAUGAGCGGUGGCCAGAAGCAGCGGAUUCAGAUUGCAAGGUCGAUGUAUGAGGAUGCUGAUAUUUACCUCUUUGAUGAUCCUUUUAGUGCAGUAGAUGCUCACACUGGAAGUCAGAUUUUUAAGGUAGGUUUUGUAGUUCCAAGAAACGCACAAAUAUAAUACUAACCAUUUAGGACUUUUAGGACAGUAGUCGGCACAUAUUCUAAGCAAUAAAUAAUUGGAUCAUGCAGGAUUGUGUAAUGGGAAUUCUUAAAGACAAAACAGUACUGUAUGUGACCCACCAAGUUGAAUUUCUUCCAGCUGCAGAUCUUAUACUGGUAGGUGCCUAAAAUAGCUUUUUGUUUAACUAAUCAUGUCCAAAGGAGAUGCCAAGCAACUAACCAUGUGGAUGAAAGUAAACAGGUGAUGCAGGGCGGAAAGAUUGUGCAGGAAGGGAAAUUUGAUGAGCUCCUUCAAAGAAAUAUAGGAUUCGAAGCUAUAGUAGGAGCCCAUAGCCAGGCUCUUGAAUCUGUCAUGAAUGCUGAGAGCUCCAGCAGAAUAUCCUCAGAUAAUCAGAAAUCAGCAGAUACAGAGGAUGAUUUAGAUGCAGAAAACAAAACAGAUGAUCAGCUUCAGGGCAUAACAAAACAAGAGUCAGCACACGAUGUCUCACACAACACCAAUGACAAGGGAAGGUUAACACAAGAUGAGGAGAGAGAAAAGGGAGGCAUUGGCAAGAAAGUUUAUUGGGUGUACCUGAGGACAGUUCAUGGUGGUGCCUUAGUUCCAAUAAUAAUCGCUGCACAGCUAUUAUUCCAAAUAUUUCAGGUAGCAAGCAACUAUUGGAUGGCAUGGGCAUCCCCUCCAUCAUCUGCAACCAACCCAACCAUUGGAUUAGGCCUCCUU